GAAAGAGGCUGAGCAGUACGAGUAGCGAACCUGGGGGCUCUGAGCUUGGGGUGCAAGGGUCAGGGUCAGCCCAAAGGCACAGGGAGCUGCAAAUGGCCAGGAUGUGCAGGGCUGAAUCCCAGCAGGGACUCACUGCAUCAUGCGAGUCCCUUCUCCCUGAUACCCCACUUGUUUACAGGUUCCCAUGGUGGAUUCACGGUGGCCCGUGGCGUGUUGGAAGCCACUCCAACAUUUCCUUUGGAAUAAUCCUACCCACAGCAUCAAACCACAGAGGCCUGAGCCACCACAGCCCAGAUUGUGCAGGUGAUUCAGACGUCAGAGGAAGGAGCAGCAGAACACAUCAUCUCUUUUGGAAGCCCAGGUUGCCGUCUCCCAAGUCUUUGUGACAUUGCCCGAAUCCCAGGUGAGGCAAGCUGGCUCGGAGCUGGUGACAGCGACUAUGGAGGACUUGUUUGAUGUCUGAUUCAUGAAGAAACCAAAGGAGAGUGAGCAGUGGGUGCCCACGUGUGGCACGUGGUAUCCAGUGGACUAGUUCAGGAGCCAUGCCUAGUCAUGGUGCUCUAGCUGGGAGAUUCAUGGUUUCUGUGGAAAAGCAAGUCUGGAUGGCAUGUAGCAAGCACGGCAUGGCCAAGGACAGGAGGGGUUUGUAGACCUUCACAAGGACCUGGGAAGUCUCACUGUCCCUGCAGUCAGCAGCUGCUGGCUUAGGUGAGUGGGACCAGUCAUCCUUCCCAGCUCACAAGAAAUAAAGCAGCAGGAAGGAAGAUGGGAAAUGGGUUU
This 780-nucleotide long non-coding RNA is filed under the name Anas platyrhynchos platyrhynchos (common mallard). RNAcentral's name for it is "lncRNA (ENSAPLG00000019865.1)". Lineage: Eukaryota; Metazoa; Chordata; Aves; Anseriformes; Anatidae. The record is from RNAcentral.